This 66-nucleotide transfer RNA is filed under the name Proagoderus schwaneri. RNAcentral's name for it is "tRNA-Glu". The record is from RNAcentral. Lineage: Eukaryota; Metazoa; Arthropoda; Insecta; Coleoptera; Scarabaeidae.
AAUUUAUUAGUUUAUUCAAAACAUUACAUUUUCAUUGUAAAAAUAAAUUCCUAAAUUUAUAAAUUA